UACGUAGGGGGCAAGCGUUGUCCGGAAUCAUUGGGCGUAAAGCGCGUGUAGGCGGCUCGGUAAGUCCGCUCUGAAAGUCCAGGGCUCAACCCUGGGAUGCGGGUGGAUACUGCCGGGCUCGAGUCCGGAAGAGGCGAGUGGAAUUCCCGGUGUAGCGGUGAAAUGCGCAGAUAUCGGGAGGAACACCAAUGGCGAAGGCAGAUCUCUGGGCCGUAACUGACGCUGAGGAGCGAAAGCGUGGGGAGCGAACAGG
RNAcentral lists this ribosomal RNA (253 nucleotides) under uncultured bacterium. RNAcentral's name for it is "partial 16S ribosomal RNA". It matches the Rfam family "Bacterial small subunit ribosomal RNA", at positions 524 to 776 of the family's 1533-position model. The record is from RNAcentral.